GACGAACGCUGGCGGCGUGCUUAACACAUGCAAGUCGAACGGCAAGGCCCUGCUUUUGUGGGGUGCUCGAGUGGCGAACGGGUGAGUAACACGUGAGUAACCUGCCCUUGACUUUGGGAUAACUUCAGGAAACUGGGGCUAAUAUAGGAUAGGAUCUCCUGCUGCAUGGUGGGGGUUGGAAAGUUUCGGCGGUAGGGGAUGGACGCGCGGCUUAUCAGCUUGUUGGUGGGGUAGUGGCUUACCCAGGCUUAGACGGGUAGCCGGCAUGAGAGGGUGGCCGGGGACCAUGCGACUGCGAUACGGACCAGACGCCUACGGGAGGCAGAGGUGGGAAAUAUUACCCAGUGAUCGGACGCGUGUUGCAGCGGCGCUCGGUGCGGGAAGACGGCCUUUGGGUUGUAAACCGCUUUCGCCUGUGACGAAGCGUUAGUGACGGUACUGGGUAAAGAAGCACCGGCUAACUACGUG
RNAcentral lists this ribosomal RNA (468 nucleotides) under uncultured bacterium. RNAcentral describes it as "partial 16S ribosomal RNA". It matches the Rfam family "Bacterial small subunit ribosomal RNA", at positions 28 to 507 of the family's 1533-position model. The record is from RNAcentral.